UACGUAGGCAGCGAGCGCUGUUCGGAAUUACUGGGCGUAAAGCGCACGUAGGCGGAUCGAUCAGUCAGGGGUGAAAUCCCAGAGCUCAACUCUGGAACUGCCUUUGAUACUGUCGAUCUAGAGUAUAGAAGAGGUGAGUGGAAUUCCGAGUGUAGAGGUGAAAUUCGUAGAUAUUCGGAGGAACACCAGUGGCGAAGGCGGCUCACUGGUCCAUUACUGACGCUGAGGUGCGAAAGCGUGGGGAGCAAACAGG
RNAcentral lists this ribosomal RNA (253 nucleotides) under uncultured bacterium. RNAcentral describes it as "partial 16S ribosomal RNA". It matches the Rfam family "Bacterial small subunit ribosomal RNA", at positions 524 to 776 of the family's 1533-position model. The record is from RNAcentral.